AUGGAGGAACCUCUGACGCAGCGACGCCGCGUGAGUGAAGAAGGUCUUCGGAUCGUAAAACUCUGUCCUUGGUGAAGAUAAUGACGGUAGCCAAGGAGGAAGCCCCGGCUAACUACGUGCCAGCAGCCGCGGUAAUACGUAGGGGGCGAGCGUUGUCCGGAUUUACUGGGCGUAAAGGGUGAGUAGGCGGUAAUAUGUGUCAGAUGUAAAAGGCUAAGGCUUAACCAUAGUUAGCAUUUGAAACUGUAUUACUUGAGUGCAGGAGAGGUAAGUGGAAUUCCUAGUGUAGCGGUGAAAUGCGUAGAUAUUAGGAGGAACACCAGUGGCGAAGGCGACUUACUGGACUGUAACUGACGCUGAGUCACGAAAGCGUGGGUAGCAAACAGGAUUAGAUACCCUGGUAGUCCACGCCGUAAACGAUGAGUGCUAGGUGUUGGGUAGCGAUACUCAGUGCCGAAGUUAACACAAUAAGCACUCCGCCUGGGGAGUACGGUCG
Molecule: ribosomal RNA, 496 nt
Filed under: uncultured bacterium
Lineage: Bacteria
Description: bacterial SSU rRNA
Rfam family: Bacterial small subunit ribosomal RNA
Source: RNAcentral